RNAcentral lists this transfer RNA (74 nucleotides) under bacterium. RNAcentral describes it as "tRNA-Arg". It matches the Rfam family "tRNA". From Rfam's summary of the family: Transfer RNA (tRNA) molecules are approximately 80 nucleotides in length. Their secondary structure includes four short double-helical elements and three loops (D, anti-codon, and T loops). Further hydrogen bonds mediate the characteristic L-shaped molecular structure. tRNAs have two regions of fundamental functional importance: the anti-codon, which is responsible for specific mRNA codon recognition, and the 3' end, to which the tRNAs corresponding amino acid is attached (by aminoacyl-tRNA synthetases). tRNAs cope with the degeneracy of the genetic code in two manners: having more than one tRNA (with a specific anti-codon) for a particular amino acid; and 'wobble' base-pairing, i.e. permitting non-standard base-pairing at the 3rd anti-codon position. The record is from RNAcentral.
GCGCCCAUAGCUCAACAGGAUAGAGCACAAGCCUUCUAAGCUUGGGGUUGGUGGUUCGAGUCCACCUGGGCGCG